UCCCUGGUGGCUAGAUGGUAAAGAGUCUGCCUGCAAUGUAGGAGACCUGGGUUCAAUCCCUGGGCUGGGAA
This 71-nucleotide transfer RNA is filed under the name Bos taurus (domestic cattle). It matches the Rfam family "tRNA". From Rfam's summary of the family: Transfer RNA (tRNA) molecules are approximately 80 nucleotides in length. The record is from Rfam by way of RNAcentral. Lineage: Eukaryota; Metazoa; Chordata; Mammalia; Artiodactyla; Bovidae. RNAcentral also lists the same sequence under 3 other names.